This 381-nucleotide ribosomal RNA is filed under the name uncultured bacterium. Its description in RNAcentral is "bacterial SSU rRNA". It matches the Rfam family "Bacterial small subunit ribosomal RNA", at positions 28 to 409 of the family's 1533-position model. The record is from RNAcentral.
GACGAACGCUGGCGGCGUGCUUAACACAUGCAAGUCGAGCGGUAAGGCCCUUUCGGGGGUACACGAGCGGCGAACGGGUGAGUAACACGUGGGUGACCUGCCCUCAGCUCUGGGAUAAGCCUGGGAAACCGGGUCUAAUACUGGAUAUGACUCCAUGACGCAUGUUGUGGGGUGGAAAGCCUUGUGCGGCUGAGGAUGGGCCCGCGGCCUAUCAGCUUGUUGGUGGGGUGANGGCCUACCAAGGCGACGACGGGUAGCCGGCCUGAGAGGGCGACCGGCCACACUGGGACUGAGACACGGCCCAGACUCCUACGGGAGGCAGCAGUGGGGAAUCUUGCGCAAUGGGACGAAAGCCUGACGCAGCGACGCCGCGUGAGGGAU